CCUACGGGUGGCAGCAGUGGGGAAUAUUGCGCAAUGGGCGAAAGCCUGACGCAGCGACGCCGCGUGAGGGAUGAAGGUCCUCGGAUCGUAAACCUCUGUCAGCAGGGAAGAACGGUCACUGUGCUAAUCAGCAGUGAAUUGACGGUACCUGCAAAGGAAGCACCGGCUAACUCCGUGCCAGCAGCCGCGGUAAUACGGAGGGUGCGAGCGUUAAUCGGAAUUACUGGGCGUAAAGCGCUCGUAGGCGGUAUGUCAAGUCAAGGGUGAAAUCCCCGCGCUCAACGUGGGAACUGCAUUUGAGACUGGCAGACUGGAGUGUGUGAGAGGAUAGUGGAAUUCCAGGUGUAGGAGUGAAAUCCGUAGAUAUCUGGAGGAACAUCAGUGGCGAAGGCGACUAUCUGGCACAUAACUGACGCUGAGGAGCGAAAGCGUGGGUAGCAAACAGGAUUAGAUACCCUAGUAGUC
This 465-nucleotide ribosomal RNA is filed under the name uncultured bacterium. Its description in RNAcentral is "partial 16S ribosomal RNA". It matches the Rfam family "Bacterial small subunit ribosomal RNA", at positions 338 to 795 of the family's 1533-position model. The record is from RNAcentral.